UCUCAUGAUGUGACCCUCUAGAGCGAAGCGCUUUCUGUUGGCUAGAAAAGAAUAGGAAGCGCUUCCCUUUAGAGUGUUACGCUUUGAGA
Molecule: microRNA precursor, 89 nt
Organism: Chlorocebus sabaeus (green monkey)
Lineage: Eukaryota; Metazoa; Chordata; Mammalia; Primates; Cercopithecidae
Source: Ensembl